UACAGAGGGUGCGAGCGUUGUUCGGAAUUAUUGGGCGUAAAGCGUCCGCAGGUGGCGAUUCAAGUCUGCGGUCAAAGACUGGGGCUUAACCCUGGAAAGGCCGUGGAAACUGAAAAGCUAGAGUGCAGUAGGGGUAGAGGGAAUUCCCGGUGUAGCGGUGAAAUGCGUAGAGCUCGGGAAGAACAUCGGUGGCGAAAGCGCUCUGCUGGACUGCAACUGACACUCAGGGACGAAAGCUAGGGGAGCGAAUGGG
This 253-nucleotide ribosomal RNA is filed under the name uncultured bacterium. RNAcentral describes it as "partial 16S ribosomal RNA". It matches the Rfam family "Bacterial small subunit ribosomal RNA", at positions 524 to 776 of the family's 1533-position model. The record is from RNAcentral.